GACGAACGCUGGCGGCGUGCUUAACACAUGCAAGUCGAACGAUGAACCACUUCGGUGGGGAUUAGUGGCGAACGGGUGAGUAACACGUGGGCAAUCUGCCCUUCACUCUGGGACAAGCCCUGGAAACGGGGUCUAAUACCGGAUAACACUGCCACGGGCAUCUGUGGUGGUUAAAAGCUCCGGCGGUGAAGGAUGAGCCCGCGGCCUAUCAGCUUGUUGGUGAGGUAAUGGCNCACCAAGGCGACGACGGGUAGCCGGCCUGAGAGGGCGACCGGCCACACUGGGACUGAGACACGGCCCAGACUCCUACGGGAGGCAGCAGUGGGGAAUAUUGCACAAUGGGCGAAAGCCUGAUGCAGCGACGCCGCGUGAGGGAUGACGGCCUCGGUU
This 390-nucleotide ribosomal RNA is filed under the name uncultured bacterium. RNAcentral's name for it is "bacterial SSU rRNA". It matches the Rfam family "Bacterial small subunit ribosomal RNA", at positions 28 to 424 of the family's 1533-position model. The record is from RNAcentral.